RNAcentral lists this transfer RNA (74 nucleotides) under Actinoplanes awajinensis subsp. mycoplanecinus. It matches the Rfam family "tRNA". Rfam says of the family: Transfer RNA (tRNA) molecules are approximately 80 nucleotides in length. Their secondary structure includes four short double-helical elements and three loops (D, anti-codon, and T loops). Lineage: Bacteria; Bacillati; Actinomycetota; Actinomycetes; Micromonosporales; Micromonosporaceae. The record is from Rfam by way of RNAcentral.
GCCCUUGUAGCUCAUCAGGACAGAGCGCUCGUCUCCUAAACGAGAAGCAGCUGGUUCGAGUCCAGCCGGGCGCA